This 484-nucleotide ribosomal RNA is filed under the name uncultured bacterium. Its description in RNAcentral is "partial 16S ribosomal RNA". It matches the Rfam family "Bacterial small subunit ribosomal RNA", at positions 28 to 523 of the family's 1533-position model. The record is from RNAcentral.
GACGAACGCUGGCGGCGUGCUUAACACAUGCAAGUCGAACGAUGAAGCCGGAGCUUGCUCUGGUGAAUUAGUGGCGAACGGGUGAGUAACACGUGAGUAACCUGCCCUUGACUCUGGGAUAACUGCUAGAAAUGGUAGCUAAUACCGGAUACGACCCUCGGAGGCAUCUCCAGGUGGUGGAAAGAAUUUCGGUCAAGGAUGGACUCGCGGCCUAGCAGCUAGUUGGUGAGGUAACGGCGCACCAAGGCGACGACGGGUAGCCGGCCUGAGAGGGUGACCGACCACACGGGGACUGAUACACGGCCCAGACUCCGACGGGAGGCAGCAGUGGGGAAUAUUGCACAAUGGGCGCAAGCCUGAUGCAGCAACGCCGCGUGAGGGAUGACGGCCUUCGGGUUGUAAACCUCUCUUAGUAGGGAAGAAGCGAAAGUGACGGUACCUGCAGAAAAAGCACCGGCUAACUACGUGCCAGCAGCCGCGGUAA